This 6612-nucleotide long non-coding RNA is filed under the name Citrus maxima (pomelo). RNAcentral's name for it is "long non-coding RNA (CMAX_LNC000494)". Lineage: Eukaryota; Viridiplantae; Streptophyta; Magnoliopsida; Sapindales; Rutaceae. The record is from RNAcentral.
ACUCUGUUAUCGCAGCCACCACCCCAACUCUCAUACACUGGCCUUCCAUAGCACCAAUCAUACUGCCUCUCUCGCCCGUAGCCAAGCUGGUAACACGGUCCCCCACCACGCCCCUCAGAACAUUCCGUGCAACAUGCCCUAACAGGUGAGUAACACGGUCCACCACCACGCCCCUCGGAACAUUCCCUGCAACAUGCCCUAACAGGUGAGUAACACGGUCCCCCACCACGCCCCUCGGAACAUUCCCUGCAACAUGUCCUAAUUGGUGAGUAACACGGUCCCCCACCACGCCCCUCGGAACAUUCCCUGCAACAUGUCCUAACGGGUAGGUAACACGGAACGGGCUCCGGAGCCGGUGCCGGUGCCGGAGGCGGCGGUGGGGCUGGUGAUGGUUUUGGUUGGGGAGCCGGUGCCGGGGGUGGUGGCGAUGGUGAAGGUUUCGGUGGUGGUGGUGACGGUUUUGGUUCCGGAGCCGGUGCCGGCGGUGGUUUUGGUUUUGGCGGCGGCGGCGGCUUUGGCUUUGGUGGUUCCAGGAUUUCAAUAGUCUUGAUUGAACCAUCACCUUUGCAGCAUAGCUUGUCCCUGAUCUUUUCAGGACUGCAGCACACUACUUUUAUUGUCACCGUAUUCGUCUUCUCAUCGAAAAACUGUUCUUGUAUUUCUUUGGUCAAAAAGUUCAAACACAAUAUCUUAGCCCACCAUCCGCCAGCCAUUUUUUUAUUUGCAAACACAAAAUAAACAAUUCUACUUGCGCCUCACCAAAUGACACGCGAAUUCAGAAUUUUAUGCCAUUAUAAAACAUUUUACGAAACCAUAAUAUAUAAUAUAUGUAAAUGGACAUGGCCAGCGAUCAGAGAGACACUUACGUGGGAAUUUGCACAGUACUUUCUUGACUUUCUUGUAGCACUUUGAGCACUGAAGGUUAACCUUCAGCACCAUUAUUGUAACCUUCUGUAAACAAUAGUACACAGAUAAUACAAAAGUAUUUUUCAGCAGGCUAAUUAAUUAAAGAUAAAAGAGAGACAUUUAAUUAAUUUCUGACAUGAAAGAAUCAGCAAGGUAACUAUAUAUCUCCGUGUAUAUAUACACUAUAAGCUAUCAUCACGAAAGAUCGAUCGAUGCACAGCACAAACUUAACCAAAAGGGGAAUUACGAACCUUCUCUCCCAUAGCUGCUCGGAUCUGAACCUCAGGAAACCGGACACUGAUUAUUUGAAGCGUUAAUGUGACAGCAGGUAUGGAAAAGGGUCUUAUAAAUAAGUGCGCCAAUUUGAAACUUGUUUAAGAAGGGAAGGAAAAGUAAGGGCUUGAAUUCCGUACAUUAUACAUAACCAAUUAUCUGCCGACACGUCUUAUUGGAUGACGUCGAAUUUCAUGAUAUCAUCAAGGUUGUCGUUAUCUCCGUACAUAGUAAGUCUUUCUUCACAUUUAUGUAUGAUUGCUGACUCACCCAUUCUCCAUUGCAUUUGCAUGUGCUGCCUUUUGAUUGAUUGCCCUUUUCUCUGUUUUUCUUUUUUUUUUUUUGCUUUGCUUUUUUUUUUUCUUUUAUGUCUAAAGGAAAAUUUUUUGUCUUUCUCAUUUGAGCAAUAGUCAUAUUUCUUUACCUAAUUGAAAAUUAAAAAUAAAAAUAAAUAAGGGAAAAUGGACUUUAAUUGAACAACUGAUGUGAGAUCUAGGUAUAGAAAUUUACAUUCACCAACUCUUCCUAACCGUCAAAUUUGAUGCAUUUUUCGAACCCAGCACCUUGUGCCAUGGAUCGAGCAUUCAUUCUACAAACAGAGUAAUUGAUGAAAUAAUUUAAUCGAGCUAUUGGAAGUUUCACCAACCUAAAGUAAUCAUUGUCCUUAACCCAUAAACAAAGGGCCCAAUGAUCAAUUAAUAUAAGCUUUUGGAAGUUCAACCAAUCCCCGUAAGUAUACCUCCAACACUAAGGUAGCUAUUAUGGGCUUGUGGGACCCGCAUACUUAAUGCCUAAGUUAAGUGUCACAUCACUAAUUUAAUUUUAGAUUGGCCACACUCCAAGUAAUUAAAAAAGAUAAUGUUAUUAGUUUACCAGAAGCAGUUGUGACGCCUUGGCACCCACCUCCGCUUGGCCAUUUUAAAUUAAAUGUUGAUGCAGUCAUGGGGGAUGGUGGUGUGGGGGCCGUCGAUGGGUUAUCGGUUGCAAUUGAGGCAGGACUGACAUUGUUCAGAGAUUAUUUAAUUUUUAGCUUCGUGGUUUAUGUUGUCCAACGCUAUCUCACCAUUGUUAUUUAAGAUUAUUUUCUGAAACAUUAUCUCACCCAUAUUAUUGUUCAAAAAGAAAUUAAAGUAAAAAGCAGAUGGCCAAUUUAUCUCUUGUAUCAAUUCUUCUAUUCCUCUUCUUCAUUUAUGGUAAAAAUAACCAUUUUUCUUAAGUGUUUUAUGUAGCAUUUUUGUACUUAAUUUAUGCAAUGCUAUAAAAGAUCAAAUUUGAAUUUUAAAGAAUUAUUAUUAUUAUUAUUAUUAUUAUUAUUAUUAUUAUUAUUAUUUAUCAGGAACUGGGAAGAUAAUUGCCGAGACUCAGGAGAUAGAGCUCUGCAAGACAGCUAUUAUGUCCCAAAAAGAAUUUUGCUUUUGAAGCAUCACUUUCCCAAAAAGAAAUUCCAAAAAUUAUGUCUAAUUAAAAUCUUUUAGAAUCUCCCCAAGGUUUGAUUGCAUGGUUUUUAAACAGUUAUAAGCAGUUUUCAAGAAAUUGUUUUUUAUUAGUACUGAUUUGAACCUUAAGGAAGUUUGAGUUAAAAAAAUUGAUUUGGACUUAAUGGACUCCCUUAUCUUUAAAAGAAAAUGUAUCCUGCAGAAUUCGAAAGAAAUAAUUAAAAAAAAAUAAAACAAUGGAAUAAUUCAGAAAGAGAAAAUAAGAAGCACAUGUAAAAAGUAUUUUUCUAAUGAAUUUAUUUCAAUUUUUUGAUUUUAUAAAUAAAAACUCAAGGGUGAAAAAUUUUAAUGAGUAACGGUCGUUAAUGAAAAAUUUUAAUGAGUAAGGGUUGUUAUAUAUUUAACGAUGAAAUUAAAAGAAAAUAGUGUAAAUGAAAAAAAAAAAUAACAGAAGCGAUGAGAGUGAUUCUGAGAAGAGUUAGAGAUUAUUGUGGGUUGUCUAUGGUAUAGAGUAGGAAGAUUAAGUUAAAUAAAUUAGUUUGAUUUAUCUAAAUAAAUUAUUUCAUUAUAAAAUAGAAUUUACUCAUUGGUAAAGUACUGUAUAGAUGUUUUGGUUUUAUAUAAAUUUAUUAGAAGAGAUGAAUAUAAGGAGUAUUUUUAUCGAAUUCAAAAAGCUCAUAACUUUUCACUUGUAAUCAAUUUUUCUACCAUAAAUUUUUGUAUGAUUUUGGUCCCUAUGGGUAGAAGAAUUUAAAGGGGGCCAAAAUCAUAGAGGUAAACGUUUAGGGGUCAAAGUCUAAAAAGAGUAAAUUAUUUUGGUAAAAUGUCAAGAUAAAUUAAAGUUUCAGAGCCACCUCCCGCCUUUUUUUCAUUUAGCAAAAUAAUACUUUCAUGUAUUAUGCCGAGGUAGAUGUGAUGGACCUUUUUAAUAUUUAAAUUUUAUGAUAAAUAAUGAUGUGUCAUUUAUAAGAGAAAUUUUAUAAUAUAUUAGAGGUAGUACAUCAACUAAUACAUGUAUGACAUGUAUAUAUAGACUUGAUAUAACCUUUAUUUGCAUAAUAAUUUUUUAAAAUAAAUGUACAUAUAUUAUAAUAUAACUUGUUUAUUGUAUACCUGAUAUGAUACAUCUGAUUUAUUUUAGAAUUUUUCAUGUGAUUAAAAUUUUUUAUAAAGUUCUAAAUAAAUUAUUUUAUACCUGACAUUACUAUUGAAGAAUAUAUUGACAGAUAUUGUGGAAUAUUUAUAUGUAACUUAUUAGAAUUUAUACAAAAAUUGCAUAUAAAAUUACGAGAGCUUCUGUUCACUUUAAAUUAAUCAAUCUAACAAGAAUUUAAUUAAGGCUUCAUGCAUAUAACAAAGGCGAAGUGUAAGUUGUAAAAAGGCCAAAAAAAAAAUGUAUUGACAAUUUUCCAUUCUAGAUUCUAAAUUUCAAUAAACAUCUAAUUUAUCAACAAGCAUGUUCGUUCUUUUUAUGAUUGAAUGUUGAAAUAAACAGUGUAAGAUCCAUCUCUUAUGCUUGGUAAUGGCACCAAAAGAAAACUCCUCUUUGCUCCCUUUGCAACAAAGCGGAUAGGAUGAUAAUUCUUUUUCCAUUGCGAAGCAAACUACACUGUUAUAUCCAAACUCUGUUGACACUGAAUUGCAACUGACCUUCAUGCUUUCGCCCGAUUUCAAGUUAACACUAGUAGAAACGAAGCAACCCUUUUGGGUUACUGACUCCAAGGCUACUGUUUCAGCCUUUCCAUCCCAUCCGGUAACAAGGCGAAAAAUGGAGGAGCCAUGAACACUAGAAGAGUCUGCGACAACAAGUUCAUCAUCUGUUCCUUGCACUACAAGCAUUCCUGGGGAAGCAAAUAGUUCUAGCAUGACUGAUCUGCCAAUUGCAUCGCUGAGGGAUGAAAAUUCGGAGGAAGGUUUAUCGUUUAAGAUGAAUCUUAAAGUGGCUUGAAGGGCAAUGUCAGUGCCAGAUUUAGGGGAUUCUGCCAUUGGAAUAGAUUGUCAAGACAAAAGUCGAGUUUCUGGAAACUUUGGAAAAUGUGACCAGCUGAAAUUAUAUGAUGCAGGAAUUGGAGCAACAACUUCUGAAAGAGAUGUUGCUGAUUCAGUCCUGAUAUCGGAGUCCCCAUUGCUGUAGCUCGUAGGCAGAUAAGACCGUGGUGAAUGGCCGAUCAGCUGAAGAAGAAAAAAGAUUUUCAGUCAAAGAUUUUUCAUUGAUAACAGAAAUUGUAAACAAAACAGUUCAUGAAGAUUCCAUCGAUAGGCUCUGUCCUUAGAAUAAGGGGCAGCUGAAUGGUUAAUUUGUCAUCAUAUGUCCAUGCUGUGGUGAUACUUGGAAAUUUCGUGCAUCGGGAAUGUAACUGUUUGUUACAUGUCUUUAUAAAAGAUGAAACCCCACUUUUAAUUUUUCUAUCUGAAAUAAAAAAUUGAAAAACAAUCAAAGAUAUUAUAAUUCAGCACCUGCCGAUGGUAGAGGCAAAUCCUGGCCAUUUAAUGUUGCCUUUGCUCCAUUAGUAUUUGUCCACCUCGAUAUUCUGAAACCAAAGGAUAGUGAUCGAGCUGCUCCCUGGAUAUACAUCAAAUCCAGAAUGUGUGAUGGAUGAACUUCUCAUUACAAUGUUAAAAAAUAAACACCAAGUUUGAUAGCCAGUACCUUAGGAAGAAAUGUGAAUGUGAUAUGACGAUAAGGAUCUGAAGAAACAACAGGAUCAACUUUCUGGUUGGGCAGAAUAUGUCCAGAUUUCCAAUCAAGUGAGCUCGAUAUGUACCGAAUGAUGUAAAGACCAGGAUAUAAUCCUUCCUCUUCAAAGUAAAUUGAAUAUCCCAACUUUGCGAAUGACUUAAUUCCUCCAUGGGAAACAAGAAUAAAAUCUAGUAUACCAAUUGGCGGAAACUGUGCAAAUUUAGAAAGCAACUCAUGAGAUUCAAGAACAUUGAGAGUAAAGAGAAAAAAUGGGCAAUGAAUACCAGACAUGUGCCAUAACAGCACCAGAAUGAAUUUAAUUAAUGCGUAAACAAAUUUUAUUCAACUUUAUUUCUAAUCCAGUCAUUAACAUUCUUAUAGCAAUUUAACUCUAAGAUUUACCUAACACAUACGACUACUUUUAAAACUCACGACACUUUUUAAAAUAAAUUUUACUAAAUGUUUAAUUGAUUCUCUUUACAGUUGAAUAUAUUUAUAAUACAGCUAACAAUAAUUAUUUUAAAAAAUACAUCAUUACCAAAUAGGCCGCCAAUAAUUGGAAAACUAAUUGUAGCAUUAACAAACUCUACAUUCACCAACCUUUAUUUAUCUUUGAUUUUCCUAUAGAGUCUAUAUUACCCAAAAUGUUAAAGAUUAAACCAGCAUACAAGAAGCAACUAGAAGAAAGUAAACGAUAUGAUCACUGACGAUUACCAUUCAUGAUCAUUGAUUUAUGAGAUUGUGCAAGACAGUGGUGGAUUUCCUUCACAGGUGGAAUCUAACGACCACGGGUGCAAAUGAACAGCGACCACAAGUGCAAUAUGAACAGCGACCACAAGUGCAAUCUGACCAGCGACCUCUCCAAUAAACUCUAUUAUGGCAGCUACCACCCCAGCUCUCAUACACUAGUCUUGCAUAGAUCACAAUGCCUCUCUUGCCCCAAGCCAAGCUGGUGACACGGUCCCCAACCAUGACCCUCAGAACAUUGCUUGCAACAUACCCUAACCGAUGUGUAACACGGCACUGGCACCAGGGGUGGUAGUGGUGGUUUUGGGUUUUCCCCAUCCGGUUGUGGCGGGUUUUUUUUUAUCCCCAUCCGGUUGUGGUGGUUUUUUGUUAUCCCCAUUCGGUUGUGGCGGGUUUUUUUUAUCCCCAUCCGGUUGUGGCGGUUUUUUGUUAUCCCCAUCCAGUUGUGGUGGUCUAGGGUUAGGCUUUUUAUCAGGUUCCAGGAUUUCAAUAGUCUUGAUUGAACCAUCACCUUUGCAGCAUAGCUUGUCCCUGGUCUUUCAGGACUGCAGCACACUACUUUUAUUGUCA